AGAGUUUGAUCCUGGCUCAGAUUGAACGCUGGCGGCAUGCCUUACACAUGCAAGUCGAACGGUAACGCGGGGCAACCUGGCGACGAGUGGCGAACGGGUGAGUAACGCACCGGAACGUGCCCAGUAGUGGGGGAUAGCCCGGCGAAAGCCGGAUUAAUACCGCAUACGACCUACGGGUGAAAGCGGGGGACCGUAAGGCCUCGCGCUAUUGGAGCGGCCGAUGUCAGAUUAGGUAGUUGGUGGGGUAAAAGCCUACCAAGCCGACGAUCUGUAGCUGGUCUGAGAGGACGACCAGCCACACUGGGACUGAGACACGGCCCAGACUCCUACGGGAGGCAGCAGUGGGGAAUUUUGGACAAUGGGCGCAAGCCUGAUCCAGCCAUGCCGCGUGCGGGAUGAAGGCCUUCGGGUUGUAAACCGCUUUUGUCAGGGAAGAAACGCUCCGGGCCAAUACCCUGGGGUAAUGACGGUACCUGAAGAAUAAGCACCGGCUAACUACGUGCCAGCAGCCGCGGUAAUACGUAGGGUGCAAGCGUUAAUCGGAAUUACUGGGCGUAAAGCGUGCGCAGGCG
Molecule: ribosomal RNA, 572 nt
Filed under: uncultured freshwater bacterium
Lineage: Bacteria
Description: bacterial SSU rRNA
Rfam family: Bacterial small subunit ribosomal RNA
Source: RNAcentral